RNAcentral lists this ribosomal RNA (248 nucleotides) under uncultured bacterium. RNAcentral describes it as "partial 16S ribosomal RNA". It matches the Rfam family "Bacterial small subunit ribosomal RNA", at positions 1244 to 1500 of the family's 1533-position model. The record is from RNAcentral.
AGGCCGCUACCUGGCGACAGGAUGCCAAUCCCCAAAACCUCUCUCAGUUCGGAUCGAAGUCUGNAACCCGACUUCGUGAAGCUGGAUUCGCUAGUAAUCGCGCAUCAGCCAUGGCGCGGUGAAUACGUUCCCGGGCCUUGUACACACCGCCCGUCAAGCCAUGAAAGCCGGGGGUACCUGAAGUACGUAACCGCAAGGAGCGUCCUAGGGUAAAACUGGUAAUUGGGGCUAAGUCGUAACAAGGUAUC